UGGCUCAUUAAAUCAGUUAUAG
This 22-nucleotide non-coding RNA is filed under the name Arabidopsis thaliana (thale cress). Lineage: Eukaryota; Viridiplantae; Streptophyta; Magnoliopsida; Brassicales; Brassicaceae. The record is from RNAcentral.